Molecule: long non-coding RNA, 494 nt
Filed under: Salmo salar (Atlantic salmon)
Lineage: Eukaryota; Metazoa; Chordata; Actinopteri; Salmoniformes; Salmonidae
Description: lncRNA (ENSSSAG00000099874.1)
Source: RNAcentral
GGAAAUUCGUGUGUGCGUGCGCCAUGAAGACAACGCGCACCUGCUAAUAUCACUUUCCUAUUGAACAUACUUCUUUCCGAAAGAAAUAUUAUAGUUUGAUUACAUUUUAUGGUAUCUGAGGAUUAAAUAGAAAUGUAUUUUGACUUGUUGAAACAAAGUUUAGGGGUAGAUUUUCGGAUUCCUAUCUUGGCAUGUUGAACGAGUGGAUUACUCAAAUCGAUGGUGCCAACUAAACAGACUUUUUGGGAUAUAAAGAAGGAUUUUAUCUAACAAAACGACACUACAUGUUAUAGCUGGGACCCUUUUGAUGACAAAUCAGAGGAAGAUUUUCAAAAAAGACCGAGCUGAUCAAGGGGUCGAAAAUGUAGAUAUUGCCAGAUGUUCACUGUCCGAGGAACAGGCCGUGGAAGCUUUAUUGCUGGCAAAACUAUCCAUAACCAGAGGUUAUAUCAGCUGUUUUGGUGAACCCCUCCUGCAUCUGAACUGGCUGACAC